UCCCUGGUGGUCCAGUGGUUAGGAUACUGCAUUUCCCCUGCAGGGGGCAUGGGUUUGAUUCCCAGCUAGGGAA
Budorcas taxicolor (takin) is the source of this 73-nucleotide non-coding RNA. Lineage: Eukaryota; Metazoa; Chordata; Mammalia; Artiodactyla; Bovidae. The record is from the annotation of a RefSeq genome assembly.